AGUUCUCAAGUUGUAAUUACGAGUUCUACGAGGACGUGAAUGCUUUUUAUAAGUUGGAAUCUUGUAAUUACGGGAAUUCCAAUAUGGCGUGAACGCACCAUUAGUUAAUCACUUGAUGGGUGUUUAUAUUCGCUUAACCAAAAUCAAAACAAGCAAACUACACACAGUGCAACAGGUAACGUUAGGCUAAAACGCCCCAUGUGACGCAAUUAUUCUAGAAGCAUUUUGCAGCAGUAAAAACACAGUUUUAUGACUUCUGUUCUCCAAACUAAAAUUCCAGUAUCAUCAUAUUUUUGUUGUAUCUGCUGGGUGAACAAGUGAACGCAAUAAACCCAGACUUGCAUAUAUUAGACAACAAGAUAUAGUCAACUAACUUAUGAAGAGCUUUAACAGUAUUUUCAGGACUGAUAUUUUCAGACGAGUGGGAAAUCAAAGACUGGAAUGCUGGGGAAACUGACAAAGGGGUGAGCUCUGGAAAGGAGGACAGAUACUUCCUGUUCCUGCUGGAGUGACCCGCAGGUCUGAGGAGGAGUGAGGGAGAGGAAGGCAGAGAAAGCGAUACCCUGUGAAACCUGCUGGUGUAAACUUACCUCUGAUUGGGACUCACUGAUGUAAUGGACAAACAAGCACAAAAUGUGUCGAUAUCCACAUCAAAUCUCCCAGGGUUCUUUUAAAGUGAUUUGCAUACAGCUUCACCCUUGGCCAGAGUGCAGUAGUGAAACUGGAAGUGACAGUGCCAGGUUUGCCCUGUUCUGUUUCUAUCCUAGUAUUAAUCCAGCAGCCCCUCUACUCUUUAAGAAA
Sinocyclocheilus anshuiensis is the source of this 801-nucleotide long non-coding RNA. RefSeq lists it as uncharacterized. NCBI's taxonomy places the organism in Eukaryota, Metazoa, Chordata, Actinopteri, Cypriniformes, Cyprinidae. The transcript is spliced from 4 exons. The record is from RefSeq and is a predicted model, not a curated record.